RNAcentral lists this ribosomal RNA (253 nucleotides) under uncultured bacterium. RNAcentral's name for it is "partial 16S ribosomal RNA". It matches the Rfam family "Bacterial small subunit ribosomal RNA", at positions 524 to 776 of the family's 1533-position model. The record is from RNAcentral.
UACGUAGGGUGCAGGCGUUAAUCGGAAUUACUGGGCGUAAAGCGUGCGCAGGCGGUUUGCUAAGACAGGUGUGAAAUCCCCGGGCUUAACCUGGGAACUGCGCUUGUAACUGGCAAGCUAGAGUGUGGCAGAGGGGGGUGGAAUUCCACGUGUAGCAGUGAAAUGCGUAGAUAUCAGGAGGAAUACCGAUGGCGAAGGCAGGUCUCUGGGCUGACACUGACGCUCAUGCACGAAAGCGUGGGGAGCAAACAGG